UGCUCCCUGGAAUGCACGAAGAGGAAUAGUUUUGCUGCCCAGCCUCACAUUUUUGAACCAUGAUUCUGCUGAUAUCAGCAGCAGAGUGCUGAUUCAUCUUCUGUUUUGCUGCUGCCUUGGUCCUAUGAAAAGAUAAAAAAGUCACUACUGUGAUAGGGUAAAAUAAAAAUGAGCUUUAAAGAAACUACCAUUUUUGCCCUAGGGAAUGAAGAUCCCUUAAAAGACACAAUAAACCGACACACUGAUGAUAUGUUCAUGUUACAGGGGAUGGUGAUGAUUUUAACCAUUGACUGGGAGUGCUGUGGUUCCGUACACUGGAGUGGGACCUGUUCACACAGGAAAGCCCAGAAAGGCGGGCUUUGUAGGCUUUGACUUCCAUCCAAAUUUUCAGGUGAUAUGUGACUCUAUUAAAAUCAGUGGCGACAUUGAGACUGAGCACAGCAGAGUCACAGCUCGAAUCUGAAUAUGGACAUGCCACACUUCAGUUGCUGGAGAAGUUUGGAAAUGGUUUGAAUGAAAUUUAAAUGAAUGUCCCGUAGCUGGUGACAUCCUCCCUACAAAGAGCUGACUCAGAGCAAUGCUGAUGUGGAAGUCACAGCCGCUCUGUGCUGGUAAUUCCCAUGUUUGGAUCAGGAAAAUGAUUGCAAAUGAGAUUCUUGUCCACCCACCAUGUGCAAUGACCAUAAACAGCUUCUGUUUCUCUGUCAUGCCUUCUCUCUGCCGACCCCCAUUUCGAAAAGACCAAACUAUGUUGCAAAACCAGAAAGCCAAGUACUGCAAAAUGCUUCUUGGACCAUCUUGGAUGUGUUAACUCGAAGACUGCUGAUGACUUCAGUAGAUUUGAAUCUUAUGAAUGCGUGAUUGCAGUGCCUGGGGAUAAUGUAACCAGCAACGUGAUUUAUGUUCAUACUUUUGGACCAGAGGGAGGUACCAUAGGGUAGAAUAUGUGUCUUUGAAUAACAAUGCAUUAUUUUAUCACUGCAUUUCAACAUGUUUUGAACAACUCGGAUAAUGCAGAGUAGGGGAGGAGGCUUAGAAACACAAAUGACAAAUCUCAUCAACUG
RNAcentral lists this long non-coding RNA (1064 nucleotides) under Anser brachyrhynchus (Pink-footed goose). RNAcentral describes it as "lncRNA (ENSABRG00000005687.1)". The record is from RNAcentral. Lineage: Eukaryota; Metazoa; Chordata; Aves; Anseriformes; Anatidae.